RNAcentral lists this ribosomal RNA (46 nucleotides) under fungal endophyte sp. III/35 8. RNAcentral describes it as "partial 18S ribosomal RNA". The record is from RNAcentral. Lineage: Eukaryota; Fungi.
UGCUGGCAACUGCAGGGAUUCGACGGAACCUGCGGAAGGAUCAUUA